UGAAGAAGAUCUCUACUCUUAGCUAGAGCUAGCUAGCUACCAGUCAAUAUUUGGAGAUGCAGCAUCAUCAAGAUUCACAAGCUCCAAACUGGGGCUUCCAUGGAAGUAUAGUUAGUUAAUUCAUUGCCAAUUCCAAGUCUUCUCCAGUGCAUAUGGGAAUCUUGAUGAUGCUGCAUCAGCAAAUAUAUGACUAAUCUUGCAGAGUUAUAUAUAAAGUAACAAGUUCAAGAGUCAUGUUUAUGCUUAAUAACAUUUAUUAUAUCACCACCCAGAAACCUCCAAGUGAUUGAUGCGUUCUUCUCUUUGGAAGAGUCUGCAUGUGCACAAGAAGGGCUUUCUUCAAUGAACACUCUUGAUUACCUUUCAGCCUAGAUUUCUGAUUUUGAUCGCAUUCUUGGUUUCCCAUUAUUCUUGCUUUCACGGUUGCAGCAGCCUCAUCUUUAACCAUGGAUCUGAUGAUAUCCAUAUUCAAUGUCACUUCUCCCACAUUUCCAUAUUUUUGCUUCAGUUGUUCUUCGCAGCAGGCAUCUGUUACUGUUCUUGUGCUAUAUAUAUGUAUUAAUGCAAGCUAGUAGCUACUACUUUUAAUUCAAAAUUAAUUAAACAGAUGAUACAGACCAAACUUCUUAUCCUUUAUUAGUAGAUGGAAAACUGUCAGUGACUUCGGAAUUUCUUGUUUAUAUAUUGUAAGUUUUAGAUAUGUUUUUAACUGUCUGUCUCGUUUGAUAUUUGAAUUAAGUUUGUGAUAUCAUAAAGUUAAUAAUUGGAUGACAUAAUAAUGAAAUUAAUUA
Long non-coding RNA from Diospyros lotus (date-plum), 791 nucleotides. RefSeq lists it as uncharacterized. NCBI's taxonomy places the organism in Eukaryota, Viridiplantae, Streptophyta, Magnoliopsida, Ericales, Ebenaceae. The record is from RefSeq and is a predicted model, not a curated record. The transcript is spliced from 3 exons.